This 90-nucleotide transfer RNA is filed under the name Chlorobiota bacterium. RNAcentral describes it as "Chlorobi bacterium tRNA-Ser". It matches the Rfam family "tRNA". From Rfam's summary of the family: Transfer RNA (tRNA) molecules are approximately 80 nucleotides in length. The record is from RNAcentral. RNAcentral also lists the same sequence under 1 other name. Lineage: Bacteria; Pseudomonadati; Chlorobiota.
GGAGAGAUGGAUGAGCGGUUGAAAUCAACGGUUUGCUAAACCGUCGUAGGGAUUAUAUCCUUACCGAGGGUUCGAAUCCCUCUCUCUCCG